AUUGAACGCUGGCGGCAUGCCUUACACAUGCAAGUCGAACGGCAGCGGGCCUUCGGGUGCCGGCGAGUGGCGAACGGGUGAGUAAUGCAUCGGAACGUGCCAUUGAGUGGGGAUAACGUAGCGAAAGUUACGCUAAUACCGCAUAUUCUGUGAGCAGGAAAGCAGGGGACCGCAAGGCCUUGCGCUCUUUGAGCGGCCGAUGUCAGAUUAGCUAGUUGGUGAGGUAAAGGCUUACCAAGGCGACGAUCUGUAGCGGGUCUGAGAGGAUGAUCCGCCACACUGGAACUGAGACACGGUCCAGACUCCUACGGGAGGCAGCAGUGGGGAAUUUUGGACAAUGGGCGCAAGCCUGAUCCAGCCAUGCCGCGUGAGUGAAGAAGGCCUCGGUU
RNAcentral lists this ribosomal RNA (389 nucleotides) under uncultured bacterium. RNAcentral's name for it is "bacterial SSU rRNA". It matches the Rfam family "Bacterial small subunit ribosomal RNA", at positions 30 to 424 of the family's 1533-position model. The record is from RNAcentral.